RNAcentral lists this ribosomal RNA (253 nucleotides) under uncultured bacterium. RNAcentral's name for it is "partial 16S ribosomal RNA". It matches the Rfam family "Bacterial small subunit ribosomal RNA", at positions 524 to 776 of the family's 1533-position model. The record is from RNAcentral.
UACAGAGGUCUCAAGCGUUGUUCGGAUUCAUUGGGCGUAAAGGGUGUGUAGGUGGCGCCGUAAGUCGGGUGUGAAAUUUCGGAGCUUAACUCCGAAACUGCAUUCGAUACUGCGGUGCUUGAGGACUGGAGAGGAGACUGGAAUUCAUGGUGUAGCAGUGAAAUGCGUAGAGAUCAUGAGGAAGACCAGUGGCGAAGGCGGGUCUCUGGGCCUUUCCUGACGCUGAGACGCGAAAGCGUGGGGAGCGAACCGG